CAGAAUUUCAGUAAAACCUGACACCAACACAUUCACACAUUCUCCUUUGAGGCUGAUUGCUGACACACUGCAGUCUGUUCAGAGCAAAGCACACGUUUGCUUUGAAAGCUGCUGACUGGAUCAACAGUGAGGAGACAUGGAAGCUGUAGUUGGACUGUUGUUGAUGAUGUUUGGAGUAUCUCAUGGUGUGGAAAGUUACUGUGACGGCAGACCAGAUGGAGCUCAUUGUUAUGGAACUUUGGGAGGAACUUUGGACAUCAAACUGAUGGACAGCACCUCAGAGUUAGGCAGAUUCCAACUGUUAAAGAAUACAUCACUAAUACGAUAUUCGAGAAACAACAGUUCUAAACAUAAUACAACAGAUGAAAGAUUUCUCUUUUAUCUCAGUAAUGGAACGCUUAGGAUACAUAACCUGAGCAGUACAGACAGCGGUAAAUAUAACUUUUCGACCUUUAAGUUUGAUGGACAACAAUCAGCUGAGCGGACUUUCCAGAUUUUUAUUCAAGGUACUUCCUGGUUCAUACAUGGUUUGAAAGCAGUGGUGGUAAUUAUAUCAUUAAGUGGGAUUUGGAUCUAUUUCACUUGGAAGAAAAAAGCAAUAUUGGAAGGCUCUGCUGUCCCACAAAGGAUGGAAUCUCCAGAUAACUCUGUUUUAAUGACUGAAAUGAGUCCUUACUCCAACACUUAGUGUCACCUUUCACCUGCUGUAAAUUCACUGUGUGUCCUUACAGGUGUGCAGAUGAGGACUAGGGUGAUUUUUCUUCUUUUUCUUCCUUCUUUUGUCAUAUGUAGUGCACAAGGACACAUUUGUUUUCACCUUUUGGUGUGUUUGUGUUAGUUCACAAUGUGAUUUCAGUGUGUGAAUAAAGAGGUAACAAAAAUGUUUAUUUCUGGUUCUUAAAAGCAGGAACAGUCAAAGAAAAAAAAAAGACCAUGGAAAAGAGGAGAGCAAAAACUUUAGAGGAAAG
Molecule: long non-coding RNA, 968 nt
Organism: Oreochromis aureus
Lineage: Eukaryota; Metazoa; Chordata; Actinopteri; Cichliformes; Cichlidae
Source: Ensembl